ACAGCAGUAGCCGCGGUAACACGAAGGGGGCUAGCGUUGCUCGGAAUCACUGGGCGUAAAGGGUGCGUAGGCGGGUCUUUAAGUCAGGGGUGAAAUCCUGGAGCUCAACUCAGAACUGCCUUUGAUACUGAAGACCCUGAGUUCGGGAGAGGUGAGUGGAACUGCGAGUGUAGAGGUGAAAUUCGUAGAUAUUCGCAAGAACACCAGUGGCGAAGGCGGCUCACUGGCCCGAUACUGACGCUGAGGCACGAAAGCGUGGGGAGCAAACAGGAUUAGAUACCCGUGUAGUCCCUGUCUCUUAUACA
Molecule: ribosomal RNA, 305 nt
Filed under: uncultured bacterium
Lineage: Bacteria
Description: partial 16S ribosomal RNA
Rfam family: Bacterial small subunit ribosomal RNA
Source: RNAcentral